This is a ribosomal RNA of Denticeps clupeoides (denticle herring), 109 nucleotides long. NCBI's taxonomy places the organism in Eukaryota, Metazoa, Chordata, Actinopteri, Clupeiformes, Denticipitidae. The record is from Ensembl.
GCUUACGGCCAUACCAGCUGAAGAACGCCUGAUCUCGGAAGCUAAGAAGGCUUUGGCCUGGUUAGUACUUGGAUGGGAGACUUCCUGGGAAUACCAGGUGCUGUAAGCU